RNAcentral lists this ribosomal RNA (392 nucleotides) under uncultured bacterium. Its description in RNAcentral is "bacterial SSU rRNA". It matches the Rfam family "Bacterial small subunit ribosomal RNA", at positions 369 to 775 of the family's 1533-position model. The record is from RNAcentral.
CAAUGGGCGCAAGCCUGACCCAGCAACGCCGCGUGAAGGAAGAAGGCCCUCGGGUUGUAAACUUCUUUUAUUCGGGACGAAACAAAUGACGGUACCGAAUGAAUAAGCCACGGCUAACUACGUGCCAGCAGCCGCGGUAAUACGUAGGUGGCAAGCGUUAUCCGGAUUUACUGGGUGUAAAGGGCGUGUAGGCGGGAGAGCAAGUCAGACGUGAAAAUCCAGGGCUCAACCCUGGAACUGCGUUUGAAACUGUAGUUCUUGAGUACUGGAGAGGCAGACGGAAUUCCUAGUGUAGCGGUGAAAUGCGUAGAUAUUAGGAGGAACACCAGUGGCGAAGGCGGUCUGCUGGACAGCAACUGACGCUGAGGCGCGAAAGCGUGGGGAGCAAACAG